This 213-nucleotide ribosomal RNA is filed under the name uncultured bacterium. RNAcentral's name for it is "partial 16S ribosomal RNA". It matches the Rfam family "Bacterial small subunit ribosomal RNA", at positions 524 to 737 of the family's 1533-position model. The record is from RNAcentral.
UACGUAGGGCGCAAGCGUUGUCCGGAAUUAUUGGGCGUAAAGAGCUCGUAGGUGGUGUGUCGCGUCUGCCGUGAAAGCCCGGGGCUUAACUCCGGGUCUGCGGUGGAUACGGGCAGACUAGAGGCAGGUAGGGGAGAACGGAAUCCCGGUGUAGCGGUGAAAUGCGCAGAUAUCGGGAGGAACACCGGUGGCGAAGGCGGUUCUCUGGGCCUG